UACGGAGGGGGCAAGCGUUAUUCGGAAUUAUUGGGCGUAAAGGGCGCGUAGGCGGUCGUGACAAGUCACUUGUGAAAUCUCCGGGCUUAACUCGGAACGGUCAAGUGAUACUGUCGGACUAGAGUACAGAAGGGGCAACUGGAAUUCUCGGUGUAGCGGUGAAAUGCGUAGAUAUCGAGAGGAACACCUGCGGCGAAGGCGGGUUGCUGGGCUGAUACUGACGCUGAGGCGCGAAAGCCAGGGGAGCGAACGGG
Molecule: ribosomal RNA, 254 nt
Filed under: uncultured bacterium
Lineage: Bacteria
Description: partial 16S ribosomal RNA
Rfam family: Bacterial small subunit ribosomal RNA
Source: RNAcentral